RNAcentral lists this ribosomal RNA (534 nucleotides) under Bifidobacterium breve. RNAcentral's name for it is "bacterial SSU rRNA". It matches the Rfam family "Bacterial small subunit ribosomal RNA", at positions 163 to 706 of the family's 1533-position model. Lineage: Bacteria; Bacillati; Actinomycetota; Actinomycetes; Bifidobacteriales; Bifidobacteriaceae. The record is from RNAcentral.
GUAAUGCCGGAUGCUCCAUCACACCGCAUGGUGUGUUGGGAAAGCCUUUGCGGCAUGGGAUGGGGUCGCGUCCUAUCAGCUUGAUGGCGGGGUAACGGCCCACCAUGGCUUCGACGGGUAGCCGGCCUGAGAGGGCGACCGGCCACAUUGGGACUGAGAUACGGCCCAGACUCCUACGGGAGGCAGCAGUGGGGAAUAUUGCACAAUGGGCGCAAGCCUGAUGCAGCGACGCCGCGUGAGGGAUGGAGGCCUUCGGGUUGUAAACCUCUUUUGUUAGGGAGCAAGGCAUUUUGUGUUGAGUGUACCUUUCGAAUAAGCACCGGCUAACUACGUGCCAGCAGCCGCGGUAAUACGUAGGGUGCAAGCGUUAUCCGGAAUUAUUGGGCGUAAAGGGCUCGUAGGCGGUUCGUCGCGUCCGGUGUGAAAGUCCAUCGCUUAACGGUGGAUCCGCGCCGGGUACGGGCGGGCUUGAGUGCGGUAGGGGAGACUGGAAUUCCCGGUGUAACGGUGGAAUGUGUAGAUAUCGGAGAGAGA